CCCAGCUGGGCAGAGGGAUCCUCCUCCCAUCAUCACUGCCUUCAUUUGGCAUGAAGGUCCUGCUUCAGCCUGCCACAGAACCUGUCCUGCAUAGCAAACCCCUCCUUCCCACCUGGAUGGAUUGCAGCGCUCUGGCAUCUCAUUCAUGCAUCUGCUGUUGCACCACUGCUGCCAAUCCAGCCCGGGCUUUAGGAGAAGAGAACAUGAUCGUUUCGUUGGGUGCUGGUGGAGUCACCACACAAGCACAGAAGACCCAUCUAAUCCUUGCAUUCCUGCAGGAAAGAAAGCCAGCAGUCAGCUAAACAUACACGGCCACCGGCAUGUGUUAUUUUUAAGUUCAAAAUCCUGAAGGCAAGGUUUAAAGGCAAGUCGAAUGGCAUUUUCUCCGUGAGCUGCCUUAAGUCCCCUUGUCUCUUGCUGGGAUUGCGUCAGCCAGCAGUGACAUAUUUUGGUGCAGGAGCUGUCUCCGUCCCUGUUCUCAAGGCGCUUUUAAGCCUCCGUAAGCGGCUGCAGUGAGCAAAUUGAGACACGAAGCAAAUGCUGGCUCCCAUCUACAUAUCUUGUCACUCGGGAUUGACAGAGACCACAGAGCGGCCUCACGAAGGGAUAAAGUCAAACGAUACGCCUGCCUGAUGUUCCGUGCCGUAGCCUGCUCCUCCUCCCCGGAGCCAAGGGCAGGCUCGCCGUGCCCCGCGGCGGUGUCCCUGCCCGCCAGCUGUCUGCCACCGGCCGAUGCCGAGAGGCCCCGGGCGGCCCCGCUCUGCCACACCACCUCCUCCCUGCCCGGGCGUGUGAAAGCCCGGCACCUAUCCCCCUUCCCCUCCCUCUUCUGCUGGCCACACGAAGCCGAGGCUGCACCAGCCCUCACGACUACCUGGGAGCAUCACGACUCCCUCUCCCACGCACUCUGCUCCCACUACCACCCAAGCACCAUGCGUGACAGAAAUCAAUGACUUCACUCUAGGGAUAUGUCUCUUUAAGUCCCAUGUUUAGUCACUUUGCCUCACGCUGUGACAGUGUUAGGAGAUGAAGUGAGGGUUGCAAAUGCAGAAGAGGAUAUCAUAUGCCUCCUGAGAGCCCUGGAUACCAGCUUAGGGAUACACCUGGAGUGCCCAGGCACAGCAAUCAGCUCUGCUGUAACAGCAUCCCAAGUACAUUUAUCAAUGGGGUUAGAAUCGUUGAGCUGGUUUGGUUGGCAAAGAUCUUUAAGAUCAGUGAGUCCAGCAGUCAUCUAA
Molecule: long non-coding RNA, 1235 nt
Organism: Pogoniulus pusillus (Red-fronted tinkerbird)
Lineage: Eukaryota; Metazoa; Chordata; Aves; Piciformes; Lybiidae
Exons: 2
Source: RefSeq, a predicted model, not a curated record